GACGGAGGGGGCUAGCGUUGUUCGGAAUUACUGGGCGUAAAGAGUGCGUAGGCGGUUUAGUAAGUUGGAAGUGAAAGCCCGAGGCUUAACCUCGGAACUGCUUUCAAAACUACUAAUCUAGAGUGUAGUAGGGGAUGAUGGAAUUCCUAGUGUAGAGGUGAAAUGCGUAGAUAUCGAGAGGAACACCUGCGGCGAAGGCGGGUUGCUGGGCCGACACUGACGCUGAUGCGCGAAAGCCAGGGGAGCGAACGGG
This 253-nucleotide ribosomal RNA is filed under the name uncultured prokaryote. RNAcentral describes it as "partial 16S ribosomal RNA". It matches the Rfam family "Bacterial small subunit ribosomal RNA", at positions 524 to 776 of the family's 1533-position model. The record is from RNAcentral.